AACGAAUCAACUUUUCAGUUUUUAGAUACAAUAUUUAACUCUUCGUCUUAUUCAAAAAAUUUUUAUGAUUAAUAAUUUUAUUUUUAUUAGAUGAUAAAACAUGAUUAGUACUUUAUGUGUGACUAAUUUUUUAAAAAAUUUAUUGAAAAUUUUUCAAAUAAGAUGGAUGGUCAAAUGCUCGACAUAAAAAUC
This 192-nucleotide microRNA precursor is filed under the name Oryza brachyantha (malo sina). RNAcentral's name for it is "MIR812 microRNA precursor family". It matches the Rfam family "MIR812 microRNA precursor family". Lineage: Eukaryota; Viridiplantae; Streptophyta; Magnoliopsida; Poales; Poaceae. The record is from Rfam by way of RNAcentral.